RNAcentral lists this ribosomal RNA (152 nucleotides) under Eustrongylides sp. 72 XF-2009. RNAcentral's name for it is "partial 18S ribosomal RNA". It matches the Rfam family "Eukaryotic small subunit ribosomal RNA", at positions 1689 to 1831 of the family's 1831-position model. Lineage: Eukaryota; Metazoa; Nematoda; Enoplea; Dioctophymatida; Dioctophymatidae. The record is from RNAcentral.
UUUGAUGAUUCGGUGAGGUCUUCGACCGAUGCUUCGUGUUGAUCCGUUGCGGAUUGGCUGUUGCGUUGGGAAGUUGGCCGAACCCAACCAUCUAGAGGAAGUAAAAGUCGUAACAAGGUUUCCGUAGGUGAACUGCGGAAGGAUCAUUACUG